GACGAACGCUGGCGGCGUGCUUAACACAUGCAAGUCGAACGAAGUGGCGAACGGGUGAGUAACGCGUAAUCAACCUGCCCUUCAGAGGGGGACAACAGUGGGAAACGACUGCUAAUACCGCAUACUGAAGGAGGGGAUUGCGUCUGAUUAGCUAGUUGGGGGGGUAACGGCCCACCAAGGCGAUGUACCGUAGCCGGUCUGGGAGGGUGAACGGCCACAUUGGGACUGGGACACGGCCCAGACUCCUACGGGGGGCAGCAGUGGGGGAUUUUCGGCAAAUGGCGGAAGUCUGACUGAGCAACGCCGGGUGGGUGAUGACGGCCUUCGGGUUGUAAAGCUCUGUUAAUCGGGACGCGGUACCGGAAGAGAAAGCCACGGCUAACUACGUGCCAGCAGCCGCGGUAAUAC
RNAcentral lists this ribosomal RNA (408 nucleotides) under uncultured bacterium. RNAcentral's name for it is "partial 16S ribosomal RNA". It matches the Rfam family "Bacterial small subunit ribosomal RNA", at positions 28 to 526 of the family's 1533-position model. The record is from RNAcentral.